ACAAUUCGAGAUAACACUUGAAUGUAUAUCUUCAAGUGCUAUUUCGUGACCUCCCCCUCUCAGUUUUGACCAAUUCAACAUUUAUGUGUUUAUUUUUCUAACAUGUAAUUAAUCACUAUUACGAUAGAUAACCAAAUUUCACAUGGAUUUUGAUUGGUACAGAACUACCAGAGAUGGCUAGAGAUCGUUGCGGAUGGUGACAGACGAUUGUCGUUAGUUGUUCAACUCUCGAUGGGGGUAAUUACAAAGCACUGUAACGCCUAAGUUAGUAAGAGUUGAGGGAAGUGAGAGGUAAUGAAUAAUAUGUACGUUGUUUCAGAAAGUAGGACCCUUUCAUAGAGAUUCUCCCGAAGGUGAUGAUAUGGCGACGGUUAUUCCUUUGAUUGGAAUCAAGCACGGAAAACGAGUAAGCGUCUGAUCACCACGUAACGGUUCUGAAUUCAGUGUCAUUUCCUUUGAGGGGUUAGAAUUCAGCGUCAUUUCCAGAGUUCGGCACAAGAGUGAUACGAGAGUUCAACGCUUGCUAGAUUGUGAUAAGACCCAAUGGUCGUUGUCGGUUGGGCCUAAGUCCAGUCAAGAAUAGUUGCCCUAUAACCCUGUUCUUUGGAUGUGUGAAGUUGAGGGCUUGAAGUCCUCCUCAUUCUUCUGACUUCUGGGACAUGUGACUGGUGAUCUAUCUGGUCGAAGACAUUCAUUCAUGGGAAAUUCUCGCAUCGAAGCCCAACUUUGAUAUGCCUAUCGCUCUAUUCAGCUUGAAUUCACGAUGUGAUAUGCAACAUUCCAAAUUUUUGAUUCAAAAUAUUAUUUAAAAAUAUUUAUUCUUUAGAAAAAUUACGAUAAUAUUUUUUUAUUAUUUAAUUAAGAAUACAUAAACUACUGUUCAUUUAAAUAAUUAGUAAACACUAAACUCU
Molecule: long non-coding RNA, 911 nt
Filed under: Cicer arietinum (chickpea)
Lineage: Eukaryota; Viridiplantae; Streptophyta; Magnoliopsida; Fabales; Fabaceae
Description: long non-coding RNA (CARI_LNC002872)
Source: RNAcentral